CUAGCUGGUCUGAGAGGAUGACCAGCCACACUGGAACUGAGACACGGUCCAGACUCCUACGGGAGGCAGCAGUGGGGAAUAUUGCACAAUGGGCGCAAGCCUGAUGCAGCCAUGCCGCGUGUAUGAAGAAGGCCUUCGGGUUGUAAAGUACUUUCAGCGGGGAGGAAGGGAGUAAAGUUAAUACCUUUGCUCAUUGACGUUACCCGCAGAAGAAGCACCGGCUAACUCCGUGCCAGC
Molecule: ribosomal RNA, 237 nt
Filed under: Escherichia coli
Lineage: Bacteria; Pseudomonadati; Pseudomonadota; Gammaproteobacteria; Enterobacterales; Enterobacteriaceae
Description: partial 16S ribosomal RNA
Rfam family: Bacterial small subunit ribosomal RNA
Source: RNAcentral